GUGCCAGCCGCCGCGGUAAUACGUAGGUGGCAAGCGUUGUCCGGAUUUACUGGGCGUAAAGAGCGCGCAGGCGGCUGGGUCAGUCCGAUGUGAAAGCUUCCGGCUUAACUGGAAAAUUGCAUCGGAAACUGCUCAGCUUGAAGGUGGGAGAGGGUAGCGGAAUUCCCGGUGUAGUGGUGAAAUGCGUAGAUAUCGGGAGGAACACCAGUGGCGAAGGCGGCUACCUGGCCCAUUCUUGACGCUGAGGCGCGAAAGCUAGGGGAGCAAACGGGAUUAGAAACCCUGGUAGUCC
RNAcentral lists this ribosomal RNA (292 nucleotides) under uncultured bacterium. RNAcentral's name for it is "partial 16S ribosomal RNA". It matches the Rfam family "Bacterial small subunit ribosomal RNA", at positions 505 to 796 of the family's 1533-position model. The record is from RNAcentral.